Long non-coding RNA from Aedes aegypti (yellow fever mosquito), 769 nucleotides. RefSeq lists it as uncharacterized. The record is from RefSeq and is a predicted model, not a curated record. NCBI's taxonomy places the organism in Eukaryota, Metazoa, Arthropoda, Insecta, Diptera, Culicidae. The transcript is spliced from 2 exons.
UGACUCUCUGUCUGGCGGGCAGACCGCUCGAAGCCUCUCUUCGUUGAGUAAAAUACGACCAUGCAGAAAUGCUGAGCGGACCAGUUGUAUCAUAACUCAGCCUCGAAGAUGAACCAAAAUCAGCAACGAGCCUGAACCAACCAAACCUGAAAUACGGGCAAGUCGGUAGAGUCAACUCACGUGCGCUGCCACAAGGCUCUCGGCCGCCGUCGCAGCAUCCACUCGUCCGAGCCCAAUCGUUGACGGUCCAGAUCCGGAAUGAACCGUGAAAUAGGAUACGAUGCGUCUCACCAACACCGACGCAGGCCGGGAUUCUGGUGCAAAAAAGACAACAAAUAGGAGGAGCAAAUCUCAUAAACCAUUCUAGGAGAAGUGAGUAUCGUUGGGUGUGCUACGAGAAGCAAAAAAAAGAAGAGAAAAAGUGCCUCCGGAAGAUGGAUGAUUCGUGCGAGUGAGAUAUUGUAUUUUUAUUUUGUAUCGUGAAACGACCUCGUAUAUAAAAUGGUUAUUUAUGGCCACAGACGGAGAGUGCCACUGAGUGAACCCGAACGCACGAAAACGAAACACUCCACACGAGAGAGUGAGUGUGAGUGCCGCCGAGAGCCACGAGUGAGCAUCAAUGGAAGCGACUGCGUUAUUUCUUGCCGGAGUUCAAAGAUAUCAAAGCGCCAGACGUCCACCGUGCCUCCAAGGAGUGAUUUUUAUUGAGCGAGAGUGUGAAUUGGUAUAAGAAUGGAAAUAAAACGAUCAAAUAAAGUUAGUGAGCGAA